UAGGGAAUCUUCCGCAAUGGACGCAAGUCUGACGGAGCAACGCCGCGUGAGUGAAGAAGGAUUUCGGUUCGUAAAACUCUGUUGUUAGAGAAGAACAGCGCAUAGAGUAACUGUUAUGCGUGUGACGGUAUCUAACCAGAAAGCCACGGCUAACUACGUGCCAGCAGCCGCGGUAAUACGUAGGUGGCAAGCGUUGUCCGGAUUUAUUGGGCGUAAAGCGAGCGCAGGCGGUCAAUUAAGUCUGAUGUGAAAGCCCCCGGCUCAACCGGGGAGGGUGAUUGGAAACUGGUUGACUUGAGUGCAGAAGAGGAGAGUGGAAUUCCAUGUGUAGCGGUGAAAUGCGUAGAUAUAUGGAGGAACACCAGUGGCGAAGGCGACUCUCUGGUCUGUAACUGACGCUGAGGCUCGAAAGCGUGGGUAGCAAACAGG
This 429-nucleotide ribosomal RNA is filed under the name Bacteroidota bacterium. Its description in RNAcentral is "Bacteroidetes bacterium partial 16S ribosomal RNA". It matches the Rfam family "Bacterial small subunit ribosomal RNA", at positions 355 to 776 of the family's 1533-position model. Lineage: Bacteria; Pseudomonadati; Bacteroidota. The record is from RNAcentral.